RNAcentral lists this ribosomal RNA (299 nucleotides) under uncultured bacterium. RNAcentral describes it as "partial 16S ribosomal RNA". It matches the Rfam family "Bacterial small subunit ribosomal RNA", at positions 334 to 649 of the family's 1533-position model. The record is from RNAcentral.
UAUUCCUACGGGACGCAGCAGUGGGGGAUAUUGCACAAUGGGGGGAACCCUGAUGCAGCGACGCCGCGUGGGUGAAGGAGUAUUUCGGUAUGUAAAGCCCUAUCGGCAGGGAAGAAGCAAGACGGUACCUGACUAAGAAGCCCCGGCUAACUACGCGCCAGCAGCCGCGGUAAUACGUAGGGGGCGAGCGUUAUCCGGAUUCACUGGGUGUAAAGGGAGCGUAGACGGCCAUGCAAGCCAGGGGUGAAAGCCCGGGGCCCAACCCCGGGACUGCCCUUGGAACUGCAUUGCUGGAGUGC